UUAAGUUAUUAAGGGCGCACGGUGGAUGCCUUGGCACUAGAAGCCGAUGAAGGACGUUACUAACGACGAUAUGCUUUGGGGAGCUGUAAGUAAGCUUUGAUCCAGAGAUUUCCGAAUGGGGAAACCCAGCAUGAGUUAUGUCAUGUUAUCGAUAUGUGAAUACAUAGCAUAUCAGAAGGCACACCCGGAGAACUGAAACAUCUUAGUACCCGGAGGAAGAGAAAGAAAAUUCGAUUCCCUUAGUAGCGGCGAGCGAAACGGGAAGAGCCCAAACCAACAAGCUUGCUUGUUGGGGUUGUAGGACACUCUGUACGGAGUUACAAAGGACGACAUUAGACGAAUCAUCUGGAAAGAUGAAUCAAAGAAGGUAAUAAUCCUGUAGUCGAAAAUGUUGUCUCUCUUGAGUGGAUCCUGAGUACGACGGAGCACGUGAAAUUCCGUCGGAAUCUGGGAGGACCAUCUCCUAAGGCUAAAUACUCUCUAGUGACCGAUAGUGAACCAGUACCGUGAGGGAAAGGUGAAAAGCACCCCGGAAGGGGAGUGAAAUAGAACCUGAAACCGUGUGCUUACAAGUAGUCAGAGCCCGUUAAUGGGUGAUGGCGUGCCUUUUGUAGAAUGAACCGGCGAGUUACGAUUUGAUGCAAGGUUAAGCAGUAAAUGUGGAGCCGUAGCGAAAGCGAGUCUGAAUAGGGCGUUUAGUAUUUGGUCGUAGACCCGAAACCAGGUGAUCUACCCUUGGUCAGGUUGAAGUUCAGGUAACACUGAAUGGAGGACCGAACCGACUUACGUUGAAAAGUGAGCGGAUGAACUGAGGGUAGCGGAGAAAUUCCAAUCGAACCUGGAGAUAGCUGGUUCUCUCCGAAAUAGCUUUAGGGCUAGCCUCAAGUGAUGAUUAUUGGAGGUAGAGCACUGUUUGGACGAGGGGCCCCUCUCGGGUUACCGAAUUCAGACAAACUCCGAAUGCCAAUUAAUUUAACUUGGGAGUCAGAACAUGGGUGAUAAGGUCCGUGUUCGAAAGGGAAACAGCCCAGACCACCAGCUAAGGUCCCAAAAUAUAUGUUAAGUGGAAAAGGAUGUGGCGUUGCCCAGACAACUAGGAUGUUGGCUUAGAAGCAGCCAUCAUUUAAAGAGUGCGUAAUAGCUCACUAGUCGAGUGACACUGCGCCGAAAAUGUACCGGGGCUAAACAUAUUACCGAAGCUGUGGAUUGUCCUUUGGACAAUGGUAGGAGAGCGUUCUAAGGGCGUUGAAGCAUGAUCGUAAGGACAUGUGGAGCGCUUAGAAGUGAGAAUGCCGGUGUGAGUAGCGAAAGACGGGUGAGAAUCCCGUCCACCGAUUGACUAAGGUUUCCAGAGGAAGGCUCGUCCGCUCUGGGUUAGUCGGGUCCUAAGCUGAGGUCGACAGGCGUAGGCGAUGGAUAACAGGUUGAUAUUCCUGUACCACCUAUAAUCGUUUUAAUCGAUGGGGGGACGCAGUAGGAUAGGCGAAGCGUGCGAUUGGAUUGCACGUCUAAGCAGUAAGGCUGAGUAUUAGGCAAAUCCGGUACUCGUUAAGGCUGAGCUGUGAUGGGGAGAAGACAUUGAGUCUUCGAGUCGUUGAUUUCACACUGCCGAGAAAAGCCUCUAGAUAGAAAAUAGGUGCCCGUACCGCAAACCGACACAGGUAGUCAAGAUGAGAAUUCUAAGGUGAGCGAGCGAACUCUCGUUAAGGAACUCGGCAAAAUGACCCCGUAACUUCGGGAGAAGGGGUGCUCUUUAGGGUUAACGCCCAGAAGAGCCGCAGUGAAUAGGCCCAAGCGACUGUUUAUCAAAAACACAGGUCUCUGCUAAACCGUAAGGUGAUGUAUAGGGGCUGACGCCUGCCCGGUGCUGGAAGGUUAAGAGGAGUGGUUAGCUUCUGCGAAGCUACGAAUCGAAGCCCCAGUAAACGGCGGCCGUAACUAUAACGGUCCUAAGGUAGCGAAAUUCCUUGUCGGGUAAGUUCCGACCCGCACGAAAGGCGUAACGAUUUGGGCACUGUCUCAACGAGAGACUCGGUGAAAUCAUAGUACCUGUGAAGAUGCAGGUUACCCGCGACAGGACGGAAAGACCCCGUGGAGCUUUACUGUAGCCUGAUAUUGAAAUUCGGCACAGCUUGUACAGGAUAGGUAGGAGCCUUUGAAACGUGAGCGCUAGCUUACGUGGAGGCGCUGGUGGGAUACUACCCUAGCUGUGUUGGCUUUCUAACCCGCACCACUUAUCGUGGUGGGAGACAGUGUCAGGCGGGCAGUUUGACUGGGGCGGUCGCCUCCUAAAAGGUAACGGAGGCGCUCAAAGGUUCCCUCAGAAUGGUUGGAAAUCAUUCAUAGAGUGUAAAGGCAUAAGGGAGCUUGACUGCGAGACCUACAAGUCGAGCAGGGUCGAAAGACGGACUUAGUGAUCCGGUGGUUCCGCAUGGAAGGGCCAUCGCUCAACGGAUAAAAGCUACCCCGGGGAUAACAGGCUUAUCUCCCCCAAGAGUUCACAUCGACGGGGAGGUUUGGCACCUCGAUGUCGGCUCAUCGCAUCCUGGGGCUGUAGUCGGUCCCAAGGGUUGGGCUGUUCGCCCAUUAAAGCGGUACGCGAGCUGGGUUCAGAACGUCGUGAGACAGUUCGGUCCCUAUCCGUCGUGGGCGUAGGAAAUUUGAGAGGAGCUGUCCUUAGUACGAGAGGACCGGGAUGGACAUACCUCUGGUGUACCAGUUGUCGUGCCAACGGCAUAGCUGGGUAGCUAUGUGUGGACGGGAUAAGUGCUGAAAGCAUCUAAGCAUGAAGCCCCCCUCAAGAUGAGAUUUCCCAACUUCGGUUAUAAGAUCCCUCAAAGAUGAUGAGGUUAAUAGGUUCGAGGUGGAAGCAUGGUGACAUGUGGAGCUGACGAAUACUAAUCGAUCGAAGACUUAAUCAA
This 2921-nucleotide ribosomal RNA is filed under the name Staphylococcus aureus DAR1941. RNAcentral's name for it is "bacterial LSU rRNA". It matches the Rfam family "Bacterial large subunit ribosomal RNA". The record is from RNAcentral. Lineage: Bacteria; Bacillati; Bacillota; Bacilli; Caryophanales; Staphylococcaceae.